Molecule: long non-coding RNA, 1165 nt
Filed under: Zea mays
Lineage: Eukaryota; Viridiplantae; Streptophyta; Magnoliopsida; Poales; Poaceae
Description: long non-coding RNA (ZMAY_LNC002856)
Source: RNAcentral
GUGAGUCUUGCUCAGUAAGCGCUAUCUUUGUCAGGAUAUCCCUACCACGGCUCCAAGGAAGACGAGGACUACGCGCGUGACGGAGAGCGAGGACGACUGCAAAGCCUCUCAACGUGCUGCCAGGUCCAGUGGAGUUCAGGUAACCACUGAAAUCAGCACCUUCUUUCACUGCAACUCUAAUGUUCAGUAUCUAUUGCAUCUCUUUUCAUUAUAGUUCUAUGGACUGCAUGAUUUAUGGUAAACCGUAGAGGAAUGGAUUUGUCUUCUGUGUCUUGCCUAAUUUCAUACAAAAGCCUUUACCAGGUGCAGUAGCUGUUGUAGAUGGACGACCUGUAGAAGUAUUGCUUGCAGCUAGAUUCAAAUAUGGGUCAUAUGCUAACCCUGUACUGUUUCUACUUUCUACAUUUGAUUGGCAAUAAGUAAUGUAGUCCGGUUGUCAUACAAAUCAUGAAGUUACAGUCACUUAUUGAUAAGGCGAUUGAACUGUGGGGUUUUAGCAGGGAGUUUGAAGUUCUAUUUGGUGCCAAGCUCCUAAACUGAGAAGGCAUAACAGGCACACAAGUAACUGUUAUUUCUGUCCUCCAAGCUUAGAUGUUCUAAGCUGUCCAUGGUUAGGAUAAACCAAUAUGUAAGCUCAUAACCUGUGUUUGGGUUGGGAUAGAAAUUGGAUCACUUCCAAAUUAGUUCCUCCAAACAUCCAACAACCUAGCAUGGUCUAUUUUUUUUGGAUCUCUGUACAUACAUUGGAUCCAUUAUGUUUUCUUGUUCCAAAUUUCCUCGAAUUAAUUAUGUGGAUAUUUUAUUCUGGUUGAUAAUGCAGUUCAUGUGCAUGUUAGCAUAUAGUUCUCUGUGGGUCUUAUUAUUUAGUUGGCAUUAUGUUUUUUGGAUCUCUGUACACACAUUUAGAUCAGUAGUAUUUUGAGAAAUCUUAUUUACAUUGUACUAAAUAUAAUGUCUGAUAAAAUACAUUGGUAGUACAUGAUGUUAGUUUAGUGUCACUUUUCAGAGUCAAGUUCAGUCAUCUACCUCUGUUAAACUAUCUGGAUUUCACAAGAGAGUUAUAGCCAAUUCAAGCUACGCAGAGAUUCCUGUACUGCUGGACACAUAGGUAAUCUAUUUUUAUACCUUGCCAUUGCCAUUGCAAUAAUUUUUCUAUACAGCUUAC